AUGCACAACUGGCUGAAGACUAGAAGGAUACCCAGGGUGCAAUGGCUGCAAAUAGUACCUCUUUGGUAGUGUAUGCAGCCUGUUGAUUGUAUGGGUUCCCCAAGGGACCUUGGAGACAGGC
Small nucleolar RNA from Panthera leo (lion), 121 nucleotides. Its record names the gene SNORA70. It matches the Rfam family "Small nucleolar RNA SNORA70". From Rfam's summary of the family: snoRNA U70 seems to be exclusive to mammals and is a member of the H/ACA class of snoRNA which contain H (ANANNA) and ACA box motifs. H/ACA box snoRNAs are involved in the conversion of uridines to pseudouridines (5-ribosyluracil) a constituent of structural RNAs (transfer, ribosomal, small nuclear, and small nucleolar). NCBI's taxonomy places the organism in Eukaryota, Metazoa, Chordata, Mammalia, Carnivora, Felidae. The record is from Ensembl.